Molecule: long non-coding RNA, 1020 nt
Filed under: Equus caballus (horse)
Lineage: Eukaryota; Metazoa; Chordata; Mammalia; Perissodactyla; Equidae
Description: lncRNA (ENSECAG00000054406.1)
Source: RNAcentral
AAGGGAAGACAGCGUGUUCCAGGGAGAGGUCUCAGCUCCUGCAGAGCUCUUGUGACAGGAGAGGGCAUGGCGAGCACGGAGCUGAAGGCAGGCCAGGGAGGCUGGAGUGCAGAGGCCUAGGUCCGUCUCUGUCACGAAUCGAGUACCUCUGUGUGGGGACGUGUUUCCGGACUCUCUUCCGUCCCACGGGUCCGUUUGCCCAUGUGUACAUAGCUAUAUGGCUAUUGCUGCAACUGAGGAAGACACUGAUGCAUUUCUGGAAGGAUUACAGCAUCUAUGACUGCAUCAAGAACCUUGCUUGGGCUUGAGGUCAUGUCACCAAGGAGUGUAUGAAUGGCAUCUGGAAGAAGACACUCAAGAGGUUUGUCCAUGACUUGAAAGGAUUUGCCAAGGAUGAAGAGGUUGCAAAAAUCAACAAGGCUGUGGUUAAGAUGGCAAACAACUUUAACCUGGGUGUGGAUGAGAUGACAUUGAGGAGCUCCAAGAGGUGGUUCCUGAGGAAUGGAUUAAUGAGGAGUUGUUGGAACUGAAACAGGAACGCAUAGCUAAAGAAGAGGUCAGAGAAAAGGAAAUGGCAGGAGAAGAAAAAGAAGGACCUCCAAGAAAAUUCACAGUGAAGAGUUUAGCAGAAGCAUUUGCAGACUUCAAUAAGCUCUGUAAAAAGUUUGAAAACAUGGACCCCCAACACCAAAAGUUUUUCAUUUGUAGAGAGGAAUGUUCAUAGUGUAGUAUCUGCUUACAAGCAAAUCUAUGAUGAAAAAAGGAAACAAACCAAGCAAGCCACCAUGGACGUAUUUCUGAAAAGAGUGACCCUUCCUCAAGAAGAGCCUCAGGCAGGUCCUUCGGGAGGUGUUCCAGAAGAAGCCAUGGUUCUCAUAGGAGAUGACAGCUCCAUGACUGUUAUUGCCCCUGAAGCCCUUCCAGUGGGACAAGAUAUGGAGGUGGAAGGCAGUGACACUGAUGACCCUGAACCUGUGUAGGCUAGGCUACCCUAGGCUAAUGUGUGUGUUUGUGUCUUAG